UACGUAGGGUGCAAGCGUUGUCCGGAAUUAUUGGGCGUAAAGAGCUCGUAGGCGGUUUGUCGCGUCGAAUGUGAAAACCCGGGGCUCAACCUCGGGUCUGCAGUCGAUACGAGCAAACUAGAGUGUUGCAGGGGAGACUGGAAUUCCUGGUGUAGCGGUGAAAUGCGUAGAUAUCGAGAGGAACACCAGUGGCGAAGGCGAGUCCCUGGACAGAUCCUGACGCUGAGGCACGAAAGCUAGGGGAGCAAACAGG
This 253-nucleotide ribosomal RNA is filed under the name uncultured bacterium. RNAcentral's name for it is "partial 16S ribosomal RNA". It matches the Rfam family "Bacterial small subunit ribosomal RNA", at positions 524 to 776 of the family's 1533-position model. The record is from RNAcentral.